AGCGAACGCUGGCGGUAGGCCUAACACAUGCAAGUCGAACGGCAGCACAGUAAGAGCUUGCUCUCACGGGUGGCGAGUGGCGGACGGGGGAGGAAUACACCGGAAUCCACCUUUUCGUGGGGGAUAACGUAGGGAAACUUACGCUAACACCGCAUACGACCUACGGGGGAAAGCAGGGGAUCUUCUGACCUUGCGCGAGUGAAUGAGCCGAUGUCGGAUUAGCUAGUUGGCGGGGUAAAGGCCCACCAAGGCGACGAUCCGUAGCUGGUUUGAGAGGAUGAUCAGCCACACUGGAACUGGAGCACGGUCCGCACUCCUGCGGCAGGGACCCGUGCCGGAUAUUUGACGAUGGCCGCAGGCCUGAUCCAGCCAUACCGCGUGGAUGCCGGAGGCCUUCGUGUUGUGUAGCCCUUUUGUUGCUAAGGGUUAGCAGCCGGUUAAUCCCCCGAUGUUAUGACGGUACCCGAAGGAUAAGCACCGGCUAACUUCGUG
Molecule: ribosomal RNA, 492 nt
Filed under: uncultured bacterium
Lineage: Bacteria
Description: partial 16S ribosomal RNA
Rfam family: Bacterial small subunit ribosomal RNA
Source: RNAcentral